AUCCAGCUGACGAGUCGCGAAUAGGACGAAACGCGCAUCCUAGAU
Molecule: non-coding RNA, 45 nt
Filed under: Schistosoma haematobium
Lineage: Eukaryota; Metazoa; Platyhelminthes; Trematoda; Strigeidida; Schistosomatidae
Source: RNAcentral